RNAcentral lists this ribosomal RNA (406 nucleotides) under uncultured bacterium. RNAcentral's name for it is "partial 16S ribosomal RNA". It matches the Rfam family "Bacterial small subunit ribosomal RNA", at positions 29 to 526 of the family's 1533-position model. The record is from RNAcentral.
AUUGACCGCUGGCGGCAGGCCUAACACAUGCAAGUCGAACGAGUGGCGGACGGGUGAGUAAUGUAUGGGAAAAUGCCUGAUGGAGGGGGAUAACGACUGGAAACGGUAGCUAAUACCGCAUACCAUCGGAUGUGCCCAGAGGGGAUUAGCUAGUAGGUGUGGUAAAGGCUCACCUAGUCGACGAUCCCUAGCUGGUCUGAGAGGAGGACCAGCCACACGGGAACGGGUACACGGUGCAGACUCCGACGGGAGGCAGCAGGGGGGAAUAUUGCAGAAUGGGAGCAAGCCUGAUGCAGCCAUGCCGCGUGUAUGAAGAAGGCCUUCGGGUUGUAAAGUACUUUCAGCGGGGAGGCGUUACCCGCAGAAGAAGCACCGGCUAACUCCGUGCCAGCAGCCGCGGUAAUUC